ACGGUCUCAUCACGUUGAAACACCGGUUCUCGUACGAUCACCGAAGUUAAGCAAUGUCGAGCCUGGUCAGUAGUCUAGAUAGGUACCCGCUUGGGAAUAUCAGGUACUGUAUU
Molecule: ribosomal RNA, 113 nt
Filed under: Acanthosepion pharaonis
Lineage: Eukaryota; Metazoa; Mollusca; Cephalopoda; Sepiida; Sepiidae
Source: RNAcentral